Molecule: long non-coding RNA, 922 nt
Organism: Mastomys coucha (southern multimammate mouse)
Lineage: Eukaryota; Metazoa; Chordata; Mammalia; Rodentia; Muridae
Exons: 2
Source: RefSeq, a predicted model, not a curated record
GCUGCAGGGGGGCGAGGCUGGCACCGGGCGGGUGGCAGAGGCGGGCCGGGGGCCGGGGCGGCAUCCGGGCCCGGCCGGGCUUCCGGAUGGCGUGACAGGGAGCCUGGGAGCUGUCCCUGAGAGCCGUGCAGUGAGCGAGGCUGGCAGCCGCCACAGCCCCGGGGAGGAGAGCCCGGAGCCCUGUCCCCAACUCUGCUGCGGCCCCCGGGGAGAAGGUCCCGGCGCCAGGGACGGCGAGUCUGCCCCCGGGGGCGUGGCCUGAGGCACAGCCCUCCCGGGGUGCAGAACCUGGUGGUCUGCUCGCUCGGUAGCGCCUCAUCGUCUCCGACCUCUAAUCUUAGGAGGGGGAGUGGGCGACCGCCAGUUGGCAGCGGAAGGGACCUAGGAGAGUUGAGGGGGCGCGUUGAACAAGAGCUUCCCCCUCUAGGGCUGCUCGGGCCCCAGGUUGUGUGAAGUAGCCCAGAGAGCGCACUGUGGCUUCCCUCCGAAUUUUAGUCGGUGCAGGAUCAAACCGCUGCCGGACGUGCCAAAGUAUUUUUUGCAUGCCCCGUGAGCCCAGUUGCUGAGCUGGGAAGGAUCAGAAGUACACAAAGGGCGCAGGAUUCUCCUUCUUGCUAAAUUCAUGAAUGAACACACGCCUGUCCUCGUCGCAGCAUUUCAGGGCUUCUUAAUCAGCACAUUCAUUCCCAGAGCGAUUACUACGCAGUCUCCUCCACCUGGGACAACUUCCAGUGUGAUGAACAGCCAGGCACUUACUGAGGGAAUUCCUCAAAUUCAAAUUUGAUGCUCCAUCUCGUACCAGAGACCAAGGAUGCUGUCUUUAAACCUAUGAAAUCGUUCCCUUCAAACAUUUUUGUUGUUGUUGCAGCAGCUCAAAUUCUGAUAACACCUUGUCACAAAUAAACAAGCCCAGAGUAGAGAG